Molecule: long non-coding RNA, 835 nt
Organism: Papaver somniferum (opium poppy)
Lineage: Eukaryota; Viridiplantae; Streptophyta; Magnoliopsida; Ranunculales; Papaveraceae
Exons: 3
Source: RefSeq, a predicted model, not a curated record
AAUAGCAACUACAGAAUCCAGGGUCGAACCCACUCAAUUAUGCGAUUUCACAUUUCUUUUUUUCUUUUCUCUUCUUCGACUUUAGUUUCCAACUUCUCCUUCUCUUCGUUCACUGUUUUUCUCCAUAGAAAGUAAUGCACUCAAUUAAGCUUAAAUUCUGAAAAAACCCUAUACUAGAAAAAAAAAGUGAUUUUUGAUCAAAGAAUCUCCAACAAUUUUUCUCCUCACCCUCUUUAUUCUAUGCAACUUGAAAAACCCUAUACAAAUGUUGUCCUGCAACUUGAAAAAACCUAUGUUUUAAAUUUUGGGUUUGUCGAAGAACAACAUGAAGUGAGACGCAUGAAUAUUGAUUUGGAAAUUGAAUUAGAGUUUCAACAGCAGUGGUUGGUGAAUUAACAAUUCAGAGAAGCUUAAUGUUUGGUUGGAUAAUAAGAAUCUGAAAGCCCUUCCCGAAACAGAAAAGCUUGAACUCAGUUUUUCAGGCUCCCAAAUGCAAGACAACCACAUCAUAUUAGAGUACCCAAUAAAAAAGGUAAAGCGCCAAAAGGUUUAGGAGCACACAGAUCAUCGAGAGAGUUUUUUUGUUCUGGGAUCUACCAUUAGGCAUUCAUGUGUCAGAAUAAUGAAGAAUGCGAUCGCUUUCAUUGUAAUUUUUAACUUCGUAGGUGAAGUUCCCUUUCGAUAGUUGAGAAUGGUAACAAUAUAUGAAACUGUCUUAUAGGGUCUCUUUUUGAGUUCUCAAAUGUAAUUGGAUGUUUUUGGUUGAAAAAUUAUCUAAUAUCAGAGAACGGAUGGCAGGCGCAUCGCGCGUACGUGUUAUCCUAGUAUAUAAAAA